This is a long non-coding RNA of Haemorhous mexicanus (house finch), 840 nucleotides long. RefSeq lists it as uncharacterized. NCBI's taxonomy places the organism in Eukaryota, Metazoa, Chordata, Aves, Passeriformes, Fringillidae. The transcript has 2 exons. The record is from RefSeq and is a predicted model, not a curated record.
CAAAGCUCCUGGAUGACUUGAAAGCCAUUUCCUGUGUUGGCUCCCCAAAGCAGAUGGAGGUGGGGGUGCUCAGCAGUUUAUGGGUGGGAUGGGUUCCUCCUCCAUUCGCCCUGUGCUCUCCCCAGCCUUCUCAGCCUGCUGAGCCUCGACAUUUAAAUCAAACUUUACAAUGAGACUCAACAGAAAUCAGAAUUAUUUCAAUCAAAUUAUUUCAAUCAAAUAUCUAUACCACGGGUUUCGGUUGAAGGAAUCUCAUUGUCACUCCCCCAUCUCUACUCCUCCAAAGAGACGCACAGAAGGGCCAGACCCCAGCCAUGGAGGAGUCAGGACAGGCCGUGGAAGCUGCUCUCUCACAGGGAGAAGCAGGCUGUGUGUACACCCAGUCAAUAACAGAGAUCUGUGACCAUGGAGGAGCCCCCUGCUCCCUAAGAAAGGUGUCCCCAGCCCAGCCCUUUGCUCCCCUGCAGGCCUCCCAAGGGAUCUUGUCAUGGACAGGGAGGUGACAGAGGUGCUGCUUGUGAGGCUCUGGCUGCAGUCAUGCUCCUGCUGGGAUGAUGGGACCCUCAUGGAAGGUCAGAUUCGGGGCUAUUGAACGCCUCCUGAGGCCCCACGUGGUGUUACACAGUGCUGUGUGCUGGGAGGGGGCUGUGGCCAUGCCAGGCCCCGCUGGAGAGCUGUGUCCCUUUGCAUCCCGCCCCCAGCUGCUGGGAUGUGACCUUGGCUCUGCAGCCCUGACACUGCUGCAUCCUUGUCAUGGGACCUGUGACUGGAGGGGGAUGAUGCCUAGGAGGGGGGAACAGUGCAAGUCAGUAAGUCCUUGAAUAAAAGCCAUGCAAAGUA